Long non-coding RNA from Pogoniulus pusillus (Red-fronted tinkerbird), 643 nucleotides. RefSeq lists it as uncharacterized. NCBI's taxonomy places the organism in Eukaryota, Metazoa, Chordata, Aves, Piciformes, Lybiidae. The transcript is spliced from 3 exons. The record is from RefSeq and is a predicted model, not a curated record.
CAGGGCAGAUUCUGCCUGUCUUGGAUGCCUCCGACAAGCUUGGGACCCCUCCUAGCUCUGCUGGUGCUGACUUUCCCUGUCCCUCAAGGAAGCUUGCUACUUUUUGCUCCUUACCCUGAGGGCUGACCACGUGCAAUGGCAAAUGCCUCUUCAACUGCUUGCUGAGCAGCAGCCACCUCAACGCGGCUAGAGAGUUCUGAAGCCAAAGCUCCUGGCGAGUGAAAGAGAAGCCUGGCGCUCAGACCACCAUGCAUCACCUGGCCACAAACACCUCUGCCAAACUUCGAGAGGACCACAGGCAUAAUUUCUGCUUGGAAGUUUAACUACCAGACUUGGAGGAACAGUACUGCUGUCCUUAGCUCGUGAGGCUGUGAGAGGAUCUAAGCAGAAAGAGAAAUACUGCAAGUGCCGCAAACGGUACAGAGCUUUCUUUAUCUUAGGCACUUUAGUCACCGACAUGCGAUGUGUUUUCUUACAAUUCUGCCUAGCAACAUGUUGAGAACUUACUGUCCACACAAGAGUCUGGCAACAUAAUAAGGAAGAAAUCAUCAUCUUCUGGCUGUAUCUAUGUUUGGGUAUGUUAGCAUAAGUUGUUUUGCUUUGACUCUUUCACUAAAAGUAGAAACUCAGCUUCUGGAUUAGU